RNAcentral lists this ribosomal RNA (470 nucleotides) under uncultured bacterium. Its description in RNAcentral is "bacterial SSU rRNA". It matches the Rfam family "Bacterial small subunit ribosomal RNA", at positions 329 to 797 of the family's 1533-position model. The record is from RNAcentral.
CUGGAGACUCUACGGGAGGCAGCAGUGAGGAAUAUUGGUCAAUGGGCGAGAGCCUGGACCAGCCAAGUCGCGUGAAGGAUGACUGUCUUAUGGAUUGUAAACUUCUUUUAUACGGGAAUAACAAGAGCCACGUGUGGCUCCCUGCAUGUACCGUAUGAAUAAGCAUCGGCUAACUCCGUGCCAGCAGCCGCGGUAAUACGGAGGAUGCGGGCGUUAUCCGGAUUUAGUGGGUUUAAAGGGUGCGUAGGCGGCCGGGUAAGUCAGCGGUGAAAUCUAGGAGCUUAACUCCUAAAUUGCCAUUGAUACUGGCGGGCUUGAGUGUAGAUGAGGUAGGCGGAAUGCGUAGUGUAGCGGUGGAAUGCAUAGAUAUCACGCAGAACUCCGAUUGCGAAGGCAGCUUACUAAGGUACAACUGACGCUGAAGCACGAAAGCGUGGGUAUCAAACAGGAUUAGAUACCCUUGUAGUCCU